AUGGGUCAGCGACUUAUAUUCUGUAGCAAGGUUAACCGAAUAGGGGAGCCGAAGGGAAACCGAGUCUUAACUGGGCGUUAAGUUGCAGGGUAUAGACCCGAAACCCGGUGAUCUAGCCAUGGGCAGGUUGAAGGUUGGGUAACACUAACUGGAGGACCGAACCGACUAAUGUUGAAAAAUUAGCGGAUGACUUGUGGCUGGGGGUGAAAGGCCAAUCAAACCGGGAGAUAGCUGGUUCUCCCCGAAAGCUAUUUAGGUAGCGCCUCGUGAAUUCAUCUCCGGGGGUAGAGCACUGUUUCGGCAAGGGGGUCAUCCCGACUUACCAACCCGAUGCAAACUGCGAAUACCGGAGAAUGUUAUCACGGGAGACACACGGCGGGUGCUAACGUCCGUCGUGAAGAGGGAAACAACCCAGACCGCCAGCUAAGGUCCCAAAGUCAUGGUUAAGUGGGAAACGAUGUGGGAAGGCCCAGACAGCCAGGAUGUUGGCUUAGAAGCAGCCAUCAUUUAAAGAAAGCGUAAUAGCUCACUGGUCGAGUCGGCCUGCGCG
Molecule: ribosomal RNA, 550 nt
Filed under: Escherichia coli
Lineage: Bacteria; Pseudomonadati; Pseudomonadota; Gammaproteobacteria; Enterobacterales; Enterobacteriaceae
Description: partial 23S ribosomal RNA
Rfam family: Bacterial large subunit ribosomal RNA
Source: RNAcentral